RNAcentral lists this unclassified non-coding RNA (240 nucleotides) under soil metagenome. RNAcentral describes it as "partial contains 5.8S ribosomal RNA, internal transcribed spacer 2, and large subunit ribosomal RNA". The record is from RNAcentral.
AACGCACGAGACCUGCGGACCUGCGGAGGGAUCAUUACCGAGUUCAUGCCCUCACGGGUAGAUCUCCCACCCUUGUGUAUUCUAUGUUUGUGUUGCUUUGGCAGGCCGUGGGCCUCGCCCACCACCGGCUCUCGGGCUGGUGUGCGCCUGCCAGAGGACUCUUUAAACUCUGUUUGUUAGUGUCGUCUGAGUAUGAUAACAAUCGUUAAAACUUUUAACAACGGAUCUCUAGAUCGGAAG